GUUGUAUCUCGGCUCAGACGAACGCUCGCGGCACGCUUAACACAUGCAAGUCAACGGGAACUUGGAGAGGGCUUGGCUCUCUUAAGUUAGUGGCGGACGGGUGAGUAACACGUGAGCAACCUGCCUUUAAGAGUGGGAUAACGGUCGGAAACGAACCGCUAAUACCGCAUAACAUACACGAACCGCAUGGUUUGUGUAUCAAAGAUUUAUCGCUUAAAGAUGGGCUCGCAUCUGAUUAGCUUGUUGGUGAGGUAACGGCUCACCAAGGCGACGAUCAGUAGCCGUACUGAGAGGUAGAGCGGCCACAUUGGGACUGAGACACGGCCCAGACUCCUACGGGAGGCAGCAGUGGGGAAUAUUGCACAAUGGAGGAAACUCUGAUGCAGCGAUGCCGCGUGAGGGAAGAAGGUUUUCGGAUUGUAAACCUCUGUCUUAAGGGACGAUAAUGACGGUACCUUAGGAGGAAGCUCCGGCUAACUACGUG
RNAcentral lists this ribosomal RNA (484 nucleotides) under uncultured Oscillospiraceae bacterium. Its description in RNAcentral is "bacterial SSU rRNA". It matches the Rfam family "Bacterial small subunit ribosomal RNA", at positions 11 to 507 of the family's 1533-position model. The record is from RNAcentral. Lineage: Bacteria; Bacillati; Bacillota; Clostridia; Eubacteriales; Oscillospiraceae.